UACGUAGGUGGCAAGCGUUGUCCGGAUUUACUGGGCGUAAAGGGCGUGCAGGCGGUUUGUUAAGUGCAGGGUGAAAGCUCCCGGCUCAACUGGGAGAGGUCCUUGCAUACUGGCGAACUCGAGGGAGGCAGAGGAAAGUGGAAUUCCCGGUGUAGUGGUGAUAUGCGUAGAUAUCGGGAGGAACACCUGUGGCGAAGGCGGCUUUCUGGGCCUUACCUGACGCUGAGGAGCGAAAGCGUGGGGAGCGAACAGG
This 253-nucleotide ribosomal RNA is filed under the name uncultured bacterium. RNAcentral's name for it is "partial 16S ribosomal RNA". It matches the Rfam family "Bacterial small subunit ribosomal RNA", at positions 524 to 776 of the family's 1533-position model. The record is from RNAcentral.